This 482-nucleotide ribosomal RNA is filed under the name uncultured bacterium. RNAcentral describes it as "partial 16S ribosomal RNA". It matches the Rfam family "Bacterial small subunit ribosomal RNA", at positions 30 to 507 of the family's 1533-position model. The record is from RNAcentral.
AUUGAACGCUGGCGGCAUGCUCUACACAUGCAAGUCGAACGGUAACAGGCCGCAAGGUGCUGACGAGUGGCGAACGGGUGAGUAAUGCAUCGGAACGUGCCCAGUCGUGGGGGAUAACUACUCGAAAGAGUAGCUAAUACCGCAUACGAUCUAUGGAUGAAAGCGGGGGACCGUAAGGCCUCGCGCGAUUGGAGCGGCCGAUGUCAGAUUAGGUAGUUGGUGGGGUAAAGGCUCACCAAGCCAACGAUCUGUAGCUGGUCUGAGAGGACGACCAGCCACACUGGGACUGAGACACAGCCCAGACUCCUACGGGAGGCAGCAGUGGGGAAUUUUGGACAAUGGGCGCAAGCCUGAUCCAGCAAUGCCGCGUGCAGGAAGAAGGCCUUCGGGUUGUAAACCGCUUUUGUACGGAACGAAACGGCUCUGGUUAAUACCCGGGGCUAAUGACGGUACCGUAAGAAUAAGCACCGGCUAACUACGUG